GCGGGGAAACUCCUGGUCGCGCCUGACCUGCUUUUUCGGCAGGGAAGGUGAGGAAAGUCCGGGCACCGCAGGGCAAGGAUGCCAGCUAACGGCUGGUCGGCGAGCCGAGCGUCCGCCUGAGUGCCGCAAGCAGGCGGAAAGCGGCGAAGUCGAAGGACAGUGCCACAGAAACCAGACCGCCACCCCACACAGGCCCCGGCGCGGGCGCGGGUGGUCAGGGUGAAACGGUGCGGUAAGAGCGCACCAGGUUCCCGGGAGACCGGGAGCGUCUGGUCAACCCCAUCCGGUGCAAGACCCGACAGUGCGGCGAGGGCGGCCCGCCCGUUUGAGCCGCCAGGAUGGUCGCUUGAGGCGUCCUGGCAACAGGCGUCCCAGACAGAUGAUCAGGCUGCCCCAGGGCCAACCCUCUGGGGCAGACAGAACCCGGCUUACCGUUUCCCCGUGCCA
RNAcentral lists this RNase P RNA (447 nucleotides) under Deinococcus radiodurans. RNAcentral describes it as "RNase P RNA component class A". It matches the Rfam family "Bacterial RNase P class A". Rfam says of the family: Ribonuclease P (RNase P) is a ubiquitous endoribonuclease, found in archaea, bacteria and eukarya as well as chloroplasts and mitochondria. Its best characterised activity is the generation of mature 5'-ends of tRNAs by cleaving the 5'-leader elements of precursor-tRNAs. RNAcentral also lists the same sequence under 1 other name. Lineage: Bacteria; Thermotogati; Deinococcota; Deinococci; Deinococcales; Deinococcaceae. The record is from RNAcentral.